This is a non-coding RNA of Pelobates cultripes (western spadefoot toad), 409 nucleotides long. The record is from the annotation of a GenBank genome assembly. NCBI's taxonomy places the organism in Eukaryota, Metazoa, Chordata, Amphibia, Anura, Pelobatidae.
CUUGAUUCGUUUUUUUCCAGUUCUGCUAUCCGACCUGCUUUCCGAGGUACGUAUUUUCCACUUUCUACUUCAUUGGUCGUUUCUUUGUUUUCGUGACUUCUAUUGUCCUAUUGCUCGGGUCGUCGAGAGGCCUGAUUUGACCUCCUCCGACCUCCCGGGCACUUGUGGAUUGCGGAGAACGUCUCCAGCUUUCCUCAGACUACCGACGGUCAUCCUGGAGCCCGCGCGCACGCACGGGAUCCGGGCGGUCCGUUGAUAGUUACCAUCUUCAGCUCCGAAACGUACUUUUCUCAUCACCCCUUUCUCUUAAGGUCGGACACGGACCGAGGUUGUAUACUUUGCUUAUAUUAAAUAAGGGUGUAACCCCACGUUUGGUCAACCUGAGUCUCUACUGGACUCUGGUUUGGAU